Chinchilla lanigera (long-tailed chinchilla) is the source of this 2158-nucleotide long non-coding RNA. RefSeq lists it as uncharacterized. The record is from RefSeq and is a predicted model, not a curated record. Lineage: Eukaryota; Metazoa; Chordata; Mammalia; Rodentia; Chinchillidae. The transcript has 3 exons.
GCUGGGUCUGAACAUGAAGGACAGGCCAUCGGAAGACCUGGGAUAGCUUCUGGCCUGUUUUCUGGAAGAUGAAUGAAAAUAUCAGGAAACCUUUCUCCAACCACUCUGCAUUCACAGGCAACUUCAUAAACGGCUGAAGCUUAAUUUUGUCAGACACUGAUACAACUUCUUGUGCAUUGAAGGACUUUGGAUGGAUGUCCAAAAUUAAUUUUUAAAUGUAAUUUUAGCUUCUGUAUUUAGCGCGAGAGAAAUCAUACCAGGAAGUCUCUGAUAACAUGGAACCCAGCUUUCCUCGUCUGUUGUAUUUCAAGAAGCUGGCACACAAGCAGAACCUUCACAAACCUUGGCUUUUCAGUCUGAAGAGGUGGCCCCCCAUUGUGCACUGCAGGCACAAUGAUGUGGGCAUUUGUCACCUUUGAGAAAGGCGAGGAAGCAGAUAGCUGUUACAUUCAGGAAUGGUUGCAGCCGUGGCAUGGCGUUGCUCUUCAUUCGACUCUUCAGAGGCCACUGGAGACCUCAGUCCAAGUGGGAAGGUGGCAUGACUCUCUUGAUGUAUCAAUCAGUGCUUACCAGAGAAGCAGAUUUAAUGCAAGAUACACAAAUAUAUAAGAAUGUACAAGAUUGGCUCAUAAUGGCUGCCCGCAAAGUCAGACGUGGAACAGUGCAAGAGGUCUGUCUACAUGUUGAAGAUCCGAAAGAUUCAGUCAAAUGCCUGGAAGUGACUGUAGUAUCCUGUGUGAGUCCAUAUUCAGAGGCUGAAGAGCCUGUCGUGGAAGCCAGGAGAUAACGUCCAUGGUGAAGGUGAAGACCUGAGCUCCUCUGAAGAAGGAGAAGUGAGCCUUCCUUUUUCAUGAACCUCUUACACCAUUCUGGUGACAAUUCUGCCUAGGGUGGUCUUCCCCACCCAUGUUUAUGCUAAGCCAAUCUAGUUAGGAUUUUUACUUAACUUUACACAAUCAAUUAACUAUCACGUUUGAUAUACCAUUUAUUUUCACACUUGAUGCUAGAUAAAUGUGUCAUAAAAUAAGAAAAUGUGUCACAAAAGAAAAAAUAUGUCACAAAAAUAAGAAAGUGAUAAGGAAAUGACAAGGAAAGACUGAUAAGUAGCAAAAGUUUUUUGUCAAAUGAUGCAUUUAUAUAGUAAGGCAUAAUUGAAAAUGUGAACUUUUAUGUGAAGCAUGAUCUUAAAUAUUGGCAACAAAAAUUAUGUUGUGUAGGUUAUUUUUGCAAAAUAACAUGGUCUAAACUGACCACAGUGGCCUCUGGAACACAUUUUUUUUUUUUUUUUUUUUUUUUUGUAGAGAGUGGGAUUUUGUUUUAUAUCUGUUGGUUUGGGGAUUAUUUUUAAUAUUAUCAUAACCACUUUCAUCUGUUCUUCUUUUAGUCUAUGUCUAAUGCAGGACUUCGGCGACAAACUUUAGUAGUUGUUCAGAUGGUCCCUGAGCUGGUCUAGAGUCCAGGUGAUCAGCUCUACUCACCUAGCCCUGCCCAAGGGAAGUGCGCCCCUAGAGGCCAACAGCAGAGCACCUUCCUGUGGCUUCUUGUUUAACUGAGGUCUAUGAGGCGGGUGGAGAGGCCCAUGAUGACAGCAAAGCCCACCUGCUAAUUGUGAACCCAAUCCACUGCCAUGUGACCUAUCUGUAGUAAGACAUGUUAGUAAAACCGGGCUGAUCUUGGUGGAGACCAAAAAGGCCCCUUUGUAUAGACCAGGAGAAGCCCACAACAGGCUGGGAAGCAGGAAAAAUGUAGCCCCUAGACCAUCGUCUGAUGUCACAAAGCAGGAAAUUAGUAGGAGCACUCCGUGUCCUUGCAGAAGGAAGGGGCCUCGCACUCUAGCUUCUUUUGACUCGAUCCUGUUUGCUCAGUGGUCUCUGAGCUGCUAGUUACCCGUUAUGCACAUUUUAUUGUUUGGCAAAAGCCAAAUGAACACAGCUCUUCUAGUUGCUGGGAAGGAAUCUUCCCUAUUAUGGAUUUAGUAGCUUGGGUUAUAAAUCAGUUCUCCAUGAACUUGGUUAACGUAACUCAGGCUGCAAAACCCUGCUGAACCGAAGCAGAGAAGCCCAGGACUCUGGCUUCCUCCCCUGCUUGGGAGGCUGGGUUUUGGGAAGUGGGGUGGAUGUGCCGAGGCUGCCUGUUCUGUGACAGCACACUGACAUUU